ACGGUCACACUGGGACUGAGACACGGCCCAGACUCCUACGGGAGGCAGCAGUGGGGAAUAUUGCACAAUGGGCGCAAGCCUGAUGCAGCGACGCCGCGUGAGGGAUGGAGGCCUUCGGGUUGUGAACCUCUUUCGCCAGUGAAGCAGGCCUGCUCCUUGUGGGUGGGUUGACGGUAGCUGGAUAAGAAGCGCCGGCUAACUACGUGCCAGCAGCCGCGGUAAUACGUAGGGCGCGAGCGUUGUCCGGAAUUAUUGGGCGUAAAGAGCUCGUAGGCGGCUGGUCGCGUCUGUCGUGAAAUCCUCUGGCUUAACUGGGGGCUUGCGGUGGGUACGGGCCGGCUUGAGUGCGGUAGGGGAGACUGGAACUCCUGGUGUAGCGGUGGAAUGCGCAGAUAUCAGGAAGAACACCGGUGGCGAAGGCGGGUCUCUGGGCCGUUACUGACGCUGAGGAGCGAAAGCGUGGGGAGCGAACAGGAUUAGAUACCCUGGUAGUCCACGCCGUAAACGUUGGGCACUAGGUGUGGGGGGCCUUUUCCGGGUCUUCCGCGCCGUAGCUAACGCAUUAAGUGCCCCGCCUGGGGAGUACGGCCGCAAGGCUAAAACUCAAAGGAAUUGACGGGGGCCCGCACAAGCGGCGGAGCAUGCGGAUUAAUUCGAUGCAACGCGAAGAACCUUACCAAGGCUUGACAUGUGCCGGUCGGCUCCGGAGACGGGGUUUCCUCCUUGUGGGGCCGGUUCACAGGUGGUGCAUGGUUGUCGUCAGCUCGUGUCGUGAGAUGUUGGGUUAAGUCCCGCAACGAGCGCAACCCUUGUCCCGUGUUGCCAGCACGUUGUGGUGGGGACUCGCGGGAGACUGCCGGGGUCAACUCGGAGGAAGGUGGGGAUGACGUCAAAUCAUCAUGCCCCUUAUGUCUUGGGCUUCACGCAUGCUACAAUGGCCGGUACAGAGGGCUGCGAUACCGUGAGGUGGAGCGAAUCCCUUAAAGCCGGUCUCAGUUCGGAUCGGUGUCUGCAACUCGACACCGUGAAGUUGGAGUCGCUAGUAAUCGCAGAUCAGCAACGCUGCGGUGAAUACGUUCUCGGGCCUUGUACACACCGCCCGUC
RNAcentral lists this ribosomal RNA (1104 nucleotides) under uncultured bacterium. RNAcentral describes it as "bacterial SSU rRNA". It matches the Rfam family "Bacterial small subunit ribosomal RNA", at positions 304 to 1398 of the family's 1533-position model. The record is from RNAcentral.